UGUGCACACUUUUAAAGCCGGGCACUGACGUCGGUGUUCAGGUGUCGGAGGUGUGCGAGAGUAAGCAGGCCGGGUUUUCGCUGACACCAUGAGGACAGCAGUCCCAUGACUGGGGUUUGAAUGUUGACCUGAUCCACAGAU
Molecule: small nucleolar RNA, 141 nt
Filed under: Monopterus albus (swamp eel)
Lineage: Eukaryota; Metazoa; Chordata; Actinopteri; Synbranchiformes; Synbranchidae
Source: RNAcentral